GCUUACGGCCAUACCACCCUGAAAACGCCUGAUCUCGGAAGCAAACCACAGUCGGGCCUGGUCAGUACUUGGAUGAGAAACCGCCUGGGAAUACCAGGUGCUGUAAGCU
Molecule: ribosomal RNA, 109 nt
Organism: Sphaeramia orbicularis (orbiculate cardinalfish)
Lineage: Eukaryota; Metazoa; Chordata; Actinopteri; Kurtiformes; Apogonidae
Source: Ensembl